GCGACAGGCUAACACAUGCAAGUCGAGGGCAUCACGGGAGUAGCAAUACAACUGGUGGCGACCGGCGCACGGGUGAGUAACGCGUAUCGCAACCUACCUAUCGAGAGGGGAAUAACCCGGCGAAAGUCGGACUAAUACCGCAUAAAACAGGGGCACCGCAUGGUGAUAUUUGUUAAAGAAAUUCGCUGAUAGAUGGGCAUGCGUUCCAUUAGGUAGUUGGUGAGGUAACGGCUCACCAAGCCGACGAUGGAUAGGGGAACUGAGAGGUUGGUCCCCCACACUGGUACUGAGACACGGACCAGACUCCUACGGGAGGCAGCAGUGAGGAAUAUUGGUCAAUGGGCGGGAGCCCGAACCAGCCAAGUCGCGUGAAGGAAGAAGGAUCUAUGGUUCGUAAACUUCUUUUGCAGGGGAAUAAAGUGCAGGACGUGUCCUGUUUUGUAUGUACCCUGAGAAUAAGGAUCGGCUAACUCCGUGCCAGCCGCCGC
This 488-nucleotide ribosomal RNA is filed under the name uncultured bacterium. RNAcentral's name for it is "bacterial SSU rRNA". It matches the Rfam family "Bacterial small subunit ribosomal RNA", at positions 39 to 518 of the family's 1533-position model. The record is from RNAcentral.